UUGCGGCCAUCGGCCGCUACGAUCACUCGGAAUAGGGGGUCGUCGCUGGGCUCACCCGCGUCUGAGGUCUGAGCUAGCUAACCCGUGUUGAUUACUCGAUUGCUGUUCCAUUCUGAAAUUAGUUGUUUUUAUCAAUCGGCUCUACAAAUUGGUGACCAAGAUCUUGAAAAUUUAACUUGGUACAAAGUUUAACAGAGAGUAAGAAAGGCUCAGCAGGAUGUGGGAAUUUUAAAUUAGGUUUAACUACCACAGGGACCACAGGCUUUGUUGCUAGCUAUGGUCAACUAGUCCAGCCUCCUACUGAACUUUAAGGUGCCUCUUAAUUGGAGAAACAUUAUUUUUUAGUAAUGGACUAAUGUAUAACAUGAAAUUUUAUGCUGGAGUCCUUGGGCCCCUUUUGACAACAAUUGGCAUUUGUAUGUAGAGUACAGAAGUUUUAAUCCGGGAAGAGAAUUGGCCUAGGAUUUAUCAAAAGUAAUUGGAUGUAUUGGUAAUUGAUUUGUUUCACUUCGGGGUGGAUUCUUUCAAUAAUAAUGUUGUUACUAAAUGCACUUUAAUUAGGCUUUUAGGCAUCCUUAAUUUUGUGUUAGCUCCAUUGGUGAUUGCUAUGGCAACUACUCUAUGCUUUCUUCAAUAAAUGCAGAAGUUUUGAAAAGAGAGCCCGGAAGCCUUGGCGCUCGCAGGUGGUCAAUAAAUAAGAGAUUAUAUUUG
RNAcentral lists this long non-coding RNA (711 nucleotides) under Daphnia pulicaria. RNAcentral's name for it is "uncharacterized LOC124344047, transcript variant X1". Lineage: Eukaryota; Metazoa; Arthropoda; Branchiopoda; Diplostraca; Daphniidae. The record is from RNAcentral.